ACUUGGGUGGCUCAGUUGGUUGAGAGCCUGACUUCAGCUCAGGUCAUGAUCUCACAGUUUGUGGGUUCGAGUCCCAUAUCAGGCU
This 85-nucleotide transfer RNA is filed under the name Felis catus (domestic cat). It matches the Rfam family "tRNA". From Rfam's summary of the family: Transfer RNA (tRNA) molecules are approximately 80 nucleotides in length. Their secondary structure includes four short double-helical elements and three loops (D, anti-codon, and T loops). Further hydrogen bonds mediate the characteristic L-shaped molecular structure. tRNAs have two regions of fundamental functional importance: the anti-codon, which is responsible for specific mRNA codon recognition, and the 3' end, to which the tRNAs corresponding amino acid is attached (by aminoacyl-tRNA synthetases). tRNAs cope with the degeneracy of the genetic code in two manners: having more than one tRNA (with a specific anti-codon) for a particular amino acid; and 'wobble' base-pairing, i.e. permitting non-standard base-pairing at the 3rd anti-codon position. The record is from Rfam by way of RNAcentral. Lineage: Eukaryota; Metazoa; Chordata; Mammalia; Carnivora; Felidae.